CCUGGCGAGUCUCCAGACUCACUCUGCCUUUUUACCUUUUUCUUCAAAUCCCUCCUUAACUUUUGCCUGGAAACACAGCAAUUUUUCACACAUGACAUGGCUUCAAUCUCUCAACAAACGCUCCCAACUCACUCAAUUUCUGCUCCAUCCACACAAUUUACACAUCAAAACAUAGCGAUUUUCCUCACUGUCAUUAGUUCGUUUUCGUUAGUAGAUAGUUUUCCAGUUACACAAGGUUUUGUAACAGCAAGAAACAGCGGUUUUAACUUCUCAUUGUACACUAGAAAUUUAAGCUUUGUUCAUAGAGCUGGCGGUAGCCCACGUUUAGAGUAGAGAAGGCGUUAGCGGUCCUGGUUCAAAACCUCCCAGCAGCAGUAUGUUUUGAGCACACACACCUCAGCUUUUUUGCCUCUUUUCAGCAGACCAUUUGCAGCUACACGGCAGUCACUACUUUACAUCCUUUCUUUUUUUGGUGGAUAUACCAGUGCUUACAGGUAAGACCAUUGAAAUGCCCACCAUUUAUAGAGUGCCAGCGAGUGUCAGUAAUGUUAAUGUGCUUGUGUGGAAUAAUGACUCUCCCAUUGUACAAAAAUGAAGCCAAAAUAUCCCGCUUGUCGGAGCUGCACGUUGCACUUUUGGAGCCAUCACUUCAGGCUCCCGUACAGUUUUUAGGUAGGCAGACCGAUCCAGUUUAUCUGCUAAUGGGUUUACCUCGACUGACUACUCGGUCAAUUAAGAGUCCACAUUAAUAUCAACAGCUACAUCCACCCCGGGGAAACUGGUGAGGGAGAACAUCAGGACCAAGCUGGGUUUUCUUGGUCCAGAGGUCUGGAGAAACUUCUUCCCUUUCUUUCAUCACAGCUGUCUUGUGCUAGAUGUUCUAUUGACCCACUGAGAGAGGCAUAAUUUUAGAAACAUCAGGAAGACUGAAGCUGAUCGCAGGAAUCAAGGAGGACCUCGAGAUCUUCACCACCAGCUCCCUCACAAGGAAAUCUUCCGAAGUCCACUGUAGGCACGGCCCAGAAGAUGGAUAAACCCAGCAUUUCAUGAACACACUGGAACUAAUCUAUCUUCAUAACAGUGAGUUUUAUCAACAGAUCAUAUGCUCUUGUUACAUAGUCUCACGAUAACGAUUAUACACAAAUCUGUGGUGUAAUUGAACUGUAGCAGCUAUGUGGUGUAGCUUAUACCAACAUGUACUGUGUGCUCUGGACUUUGUAGGUGAAGGCAGCAUAGGUCACUACAAAAAGCUUUCAUGGUCAACAUUUGUGUGACUGUAAAGCAAAAAAGUUUUUAAGGAAUUCAUAGAUAAAACUUUAUGAAUCUCUCGGGUGGGUUCAACCUAGCAUGCAUAUUAAUCUGCCUUACAAUAAACACACUGACAUUAUUUGGAACUUGAAUUGAAUGGAUUAAGCCUAGUGCUAGACUCAUAGUUGGACUGCCCAUCGGGCAUACCGGCCAUUUGCCCGGUGGGCCGAUGGUGAUUUUUCGUUUUUAUGGGCCGAUGGAUUUUUGUUGUUGUUUUUUUCUAUAACGGUACAAAUAAUGAAAGGUGGUGGAUUGGCCAGAUGCUGGCCGGUGUGUAAAAAUAAGUCAGUUGUUUGGUGGUGGCUAUGCAACAUUCAGCAUCUGAUCCUUGUUCGUCUGUGUGCUUCUGCGUUUGGUAAGUACAGUUACCUAACUACACCAACUAUAACGCAGUCCCUUUAAACACAUGCUGCCAUCCAUUUCUAACUACCUGGUUACUUCCUGUCAGUAUUUUACAAACCAUGUGGUCACCUGACCCAACUCUGCUUCUUCUUGUUCCCUUUAAUGUUGAAGUGUCAAAUGUCAAACACCUGGAAAGGAAACUACACCAGUGCACUGGGAUGUUUCCCCAACUCGUGCCAGACGCUGUUCCUGCCUGUGAAGGUAACAUCAGCAGAGACAGCCCGCCUACCUCAGGACUUCGCCAAGUCACGUAUUGAUCACGAUGGUUAUGAAGAUGACAGCGAGCGGAAGACUGUAAAAAUCCACCACCAGAAUGUUUAGAUGCUUUCUAAUUAUUAAUGAAUAUCGUGUUUGUGUGUUUUGGGUUUUGUUUUUUUGGCCUCAUUUGUUACUAACAAAGGUCACCAAGCUCAGUUUACAUUCUGUAUGUGUUUUCAUCUUUAGCAGCCACACUCUGACUGCAAUUAAGAAAAACACAAACUUUUAAAUAUUGAAGGGGUUCAGGUAGAGCCGGCUUAUGAAUUACUAUGAACACUUACCAUACUGUACCUGUACAACAUGUUUUUGUAUGAGACAGAUUUGUAACAGAGGCCUUAGUCUCAGUAAGUUUGAAGUCCUUUCCUGAUUUAUUUUGCAAUCUCUGCUCUUUCAUUGAUGAUAAUUCAGUGCUGCUUCCCUUUUCCCAACGACCGAGACUGUCGGAGUCGGGGCUCGAACCGGCAACCUUCCAAUUAGAAGACAAACUGCCACGAUCGCCCAUAAAGUACAAGUGUUCCUGAGUGUUAACAGCACAGUUAACGUUCAAUCAGGGUGGAGGUAGGGCAUGUUUGACAGCCUGUGGGUAAAAGCUUCUAUUGAGUCUGAUUAUCUUUGACCUGAUGGAUCUGUAGCGUUUACAAGAGGGAAGGGGGGAAAACGUGUGUGUCCAGGGUGCGAGGGGUCCUUGAUGAUGAUGAUACUGGCUUUCCGCUGAAGUCUGCCAGUAUAAAUGUCUUUGAGGGGGGUUAGUGAAGUGCCAAUUGCCCGCUCUGGCACCCUCACCACCCGCUGAAGUUUCCUCUUUGUCCUCCACAGUACAGCAGUUGAACCAAAGUGUGCAGCCGUAGGUCAGAAGAACAUAUGAGACACUUUGACUGUUCAGUGCAGUGUGGAGUCUAACAAAGGUCUGUUUUGUGUCCCAGCUGAUCAGCAGGAGGAGAAAAGUCUGAGGGAGCAGCAGAGGAACAUUUUCAGCCGUUUGCACUCAGCUCAGCUACUACAGAGAAAAUGAUGAGCUCAACACAGAAGGACCAACAUGGACCGAAAAGUCAGCGCUCUCAGGAGGCCGACAAACCUCACAGAAGAAAGAGAGAGAAAAACUACAGCUGUGACGAGUGUGGGAAGGAUUUUUCUCGCAAAGCUUCACUAUCAAGGCAUCAAGUCAUCCACACUGGAGAGAGACCGUUCAGCUGUGACUUGUGUGGAAAGUCUUUUCCCUGGGAUAGUUGCCUAAGAAAACACCAACUCUUCCACAGAGGAGUUAAAGCGUACAGCUGUGAUCAGUGUGACAGAGCUUUUGAUCGCAGUUGCAGCUUACAGAGGCAUCUGGUUACCCACUCUGGAACUAAGACAUAUAGCUGUGACAUUUGUGGAAAAACUUUCAGUCGGCGAGACAGCCGAAAUAGACACCUACGCAUUCACACCAGACAUGUUGUGUACUGGUGUGAUCAGCGUGGCCAACGGUUUAUAACAGAUGCACAGUUACAAAGCCACAUGUUUACCCACACUGAGGAGAAACCUUAUAAAUGUGACCUGUGUGAGAAGACUUUUGAACUGAAAAAGUAAUUGGAGUAAAAAAAGCAGAGCGACGCAGAUGGAUCCAGUUCUCAACCCUGUCAUCGCUGUGGUGGUAGGAAAGACUUUUGUUGUGACCUUUGUGGAAAAUCUUUCGGUCAUGCAAAGAGCCUAAAAAUACAUCAACGUAGACACACUGGAGAGAAACUGAAAUACUGCAAAGAAUGUGGGAGAAGCUUCACCAGAUCACAUGAGUUAAAACACCAUGAAGUCAUUCACAGUGGGGUUAAAAAGCACCUCUGUGAUCAGUGUGGGUCAUCGUUCACCACUGCAGGUGAGCUUAAAACACACAAACGAGUCCACACAGGAGAGAAACCAUACAAGUGCACACAUGGUCACACACACACAGCUGUGACCGGUGUGACAAGACUUUCAGGAAUCUCAGUUCAUACUCUGAACACAAACGAUCCCACGCUGCAGAUAAACUGUUUCACUGCUUCAAAUGUGCAAAAACCUUCACUUCACUAUCUGCUCUGUGCAAACAUCAGCGUGAUCACGCGGGGCGGAAAUCAUUCCCAUCUCCGGAUCACGGUGAAUCUGGUGUCAGGGUCAGAAUUAAAACUGUUGAGAUCCGACUCCACAGAUUUCAGCUGGAAUCUCAUGUAAAGAACUGAUGAGGCUGCUGUAAAUAUAAAUGUUCCUGCAGUUACAUCUUAAGCUUUCUAAACUCUUCUACUUUAGUGUUCUUAUCGAGUGGUUAGCUUUGUUUUGUUGGAAGAAGAAAUCUGUUGUUAUGUAAUCAAGUUGUUAUUGAAUGUAUUUUGAUCCAUGUGUUCUGUAGGUGUUCUUUGUUCAGGCUGUCUGUGUUAUGAAACGUUGCAACGGUUAAAUAAAAAAUCAAAAUGUUCAAUAAAGAAAUGGUUUAAUGACA
Molecule: long non-coding RNA, 4414 nt
Organism: Oreochromis niloticus (Nile tilapia)
Lineage: Eukaryota; Metazoa; Chordata; Actinopteri; Cichliformes; Cichlidae
Exons: 5
Source: RefSeq, a predicted model, not a curated record